CCCUUAGAUGUUCUGGGCAGCACGCGCGCUACAAUGGUCAUCGCAAACGGAUGCAUUCUCGAAGGAGAAUGCCAAUCUUGGAAUCUAUGCCUUGGUCGGGACAGUUGCUUGCAAUUUUUCGACUCGAACCAGGAAUUCCUUGUAAUCGUGAUUCAUCACAUCACGAUGAAUACGUCCCUGCCCUUUGUACACACCGCCCGUCGCUCCUACCGAUCGAAGAGUUAGGUGAAUUGUUUUGAUCGAUAAGAUUUGACUAUGGUCAACUCUCGUUGUGAAAUUCUGUGAAUCUGACUGUUUAGAGGAAGGAAAAGUCGUAACA
RNAcentral lists this ribosomal RNA (319 nucleotides) under uncultured eukaryote. Its description in RNAcentral is "partial 18S ribosomal RNA". It matches the Rfam family "Eukaryotic small subunit ribosomal RNA", at positions 1470 to 1796 of the family's 1831-position model. The record is from RNAcentral.